CUGCCCAACCACCACUACCCAGACUGAUGGCUUCACAUCUCAGGAGUAACCUCUGACUUCCUAGGGCCCCAGGAGCCUCUGAGGAUUCUACAUCCCAAGAUGUUCUAAGUUACAGAAUCUCCAAGCCCAUCGAGAGCAAGUUUUGCUAGAAGUGGUCUGAGAGCUUAUGAAGCACAUGGACGAGGAAAGGUUGUGUGCGUCCAGCUUUCCACCUUAAACUGCUUUCUGUAGUGCUUCAGUGAUAGAAUAAGGAUGCAUAAGGAGACCCCAGGCCAGGAGUUCCUUCAGGACAUGUUGUCCUAGACCUGGACCCUGGAGGAGGACAUAGUGAUGAGGCCUCCAUGGGAGAACCGAGAAGCAUGCCCUGUGACCUGCACCCCCAGCCAAACCUGAGCAAGUGCCCCCAGCACCCAGGCCUCUGUGGGCAUCCCCCAGAGUUGAGACCUUCCCCAAGAGGACAGUCUGGUUCUCCUUGGGCCAAAAGCCCAGCUCCAGCAGCCCAUGGGUAUAGCCCUCCUAAAACGGGAGCCUCGUCUUUCCUCACCCUCGCCUGGCUAGGCUGUUCCCAAGGCCAAAGCCCAGAGACAUGCGGGAGCUUCUACAGAGCCCAGGAUAGCAGGCUGCUCUCCGGGGGCCCUGGGGACUCAGAAUGUGGCCAGCCUGUUCCCAGCUCAGGAUAGACCACAGGAUGCUUGGUGAUUCUUACGUUGGAACUCCCUCUCAAAGCUCCCCAUUGAUCUGGACCUCAGAGGCCUGUGGUUUUCACAGUACAGCUUGGUGCAGAGACGCUAGGCCCCUGUCACUUCCAUAUUUGCCCUGGACAUCUCUAAGACCAUGGGACUGAUCCAGUCCCCAAUACCAGCCCUGCUCAGCCCCCUUAUAGCCCAGCGGUAGGGCCAGAGACAACUCUCCUGAAUGUGGUACCUGCAUCCAAUCAAAGAAGGUGACUAACAUGGCCCAGAAGGAGCUAGGGCAGCACCUGGAAAGCUGCCCCAAAGCCCCAGACAGCACCUUAGACAUGGAAAGUCAAUCCUGAUGGGGAAGCUGGACACUGGAGGCCACUGGAGAGAAGGGUGAGCAUGGCAUCCCCACAGCCCAGGCCAGCCAGCAGCUUGCCCUAUAUCCACAGUCCCAAGCUGUAAGGCAGAACCACCGUCUCAAGGCACAAUUCCCAGACCCAGAGGGCCCUAGCCCAGACACAACCUGAGCCCUGAAAGGGAAGGGGGACCAGGAGUGCCUUGGGGCCCCCAGCAGUAGCCAAGAUAAGCACACAAGAGACUGAGUCCCCUGUGGCCCUGGCCAGAACUAGUACUUGGCUUAAGGCAGAGCAAGCCCCCUUGGAGCACUGUAUUCAUACCUGGGGCCUAUGUGUGCUCAGCAAGGACAAGCUGAUAAUGUUACCAGGCUCAAACUACAACUGGCCUUGUGGGGUGAGGGUGGGGCAGAAACAGGUAGACCAGCCGCCAACCUCAUCCAUUCAAGAAAGCAGGAAUGGCCAGGAUCCUGCUGGAUAAGUGGCCACCACCAGACCACCAAUGGGGCAGAGUCCUGAGGCCCAAGCAGAUGGCACUGGGGCUCUGCUUCUAGGGUCCACAAUCUGCUCCAGGACACAGGACUGAAGAAAACUAAGCCAAUGGAGUCCAGGAGGCAGGAUCCCUACCUCUGCCAUUCUUGGCAGUUGCAUUUUGUAGUUAGAAAAAGUCAGGAAACCUGGUGCUACCUGCUGCAGGAGGCUCCAAGGUGGGACCCGAGCUUCCAGCAUAGAUUCAACAAUGCCUAAGAAAGACUCUUCUUGGGGAAAAGGAACUCUUCCUUGGCCUCAAAGCCCCCACUUAUUUUUAUUAAAGCACAAUAAAGUCUGUUGUUA
This is a long non-coding RNA of Cebus imitator (Panamanian white-faced capuchin), 1867 nucleotides long. RefSeq lists it as uncharacterized. The record is from RefSeq and is a predicted model, not a curated record. The transcript is spliced from 4 exons. NCBI's taxonomy places the organism in Eukaryota, Metazoa, Chordata, Mammalia, Primates, Cebidae.